UAUAGAAAUGCAACAGCCUGUUGGCACCUGGUGAGCUUAAAUGGGCAGUGCUGAUGCUGGGCAGAAAAAUCACCCAUCUGCAAUAUUGGCUGUGACUCGACUGAACUGGAAAACAAACUUUUGGCUGACCGUUUUCACCAAAACUGUGUACUUUUAAGCACAGUUAUCCCCAGGUUGUGCCACAGAUAUCCCCAAGCUCUCCUCUCCCAGAUUUGCCACUGAAGUGCAGCUCACAUCUCCCAUGCUACUGGCACAGCACACACAACUUUAUCUGGUUGAUGGGUCCCUGAAUAAGAAGAUUAUUUCCCCAGCUUAUCAUUGAGGGACAGUUUACAGCAACGUUAAGUGCUGUAGUGAAGUCUUGGGGGGCUUCUGUUGCUUCCUUUUGGGGUCUUAAUUGCCUUGCUGCUCUUGCCAAGUUAACGACUAUCUCUCAGUGAUGCACCCACUCCUGAGCUCUCCCCUUUCUGUAAUGCAGGGAGAGCAGGUAAGUAGCCAAAAGCAUGAAUGGCAAAAUCUUUUUGGGUAGAUCUAAUGACAGCCUGCAGGUAGGCAUGACUGGAGGAGGUGCUGCUGCCCAAAACAAGCAGGGGAAAUUCUCCCCAGCACAGCGUGUCCGGGCUGGGCUCCCGCCCUGCUGUCGGUAGCGGCGAGCUCUGAGCCCAGUGGCCACCCCAGGGAGCUGGCAGACCCUGGCUGUUUGAAAACUCAUAGUUCUUUCCAGGAAAGACACAGAGGAAUUGCACUGCCUGCGCACGCAAACAUUUGGUUUGGCCACUGCCACCUGUUAGAAGGGUCUCCAAGAUCAGCAUGCCCUCGCAUCUCUGGCUCUGCCUCUUGCAGUGACUCAGAGGAUGCACAGGGCCCUGCGGUGGAGAGGGUGGUGGGGAGUUGAAGCCCACAGCAUGGGGUCAGCUCGGCUCCUGCAGACUCCUGCUCUCACCUCCCGAAGCACAGGCACAGCACGCAGUGAGCUCUGAAGCGCACAGGGUCUUGCUGGUCACCUCGGGGAGGUGGGUGCUGAGACCACCAGGAAAGGAAGAAUUGUUAUUGACCGAGGAACUGAAGGAAAAACAAGAGACGAGGGCAGGUGGCUUCACUGGGAAUGAACCAUGGAAGGACGAUGACUACGGUGAUCAUGCUGCCUUGUGAACACAGCCCUUGCUUUGCCCACACUGUGUGUCCUUUGGGGUUCACUCAAGGUAUGCCAUGGACAUACCUGGUCUGCUGAGCAGCUGUGAUGGGCAGGAGAGGUGUCCGGGGAGGAAACUCCUCUGGGUAAAACAGCAGCACGUAAUAAUUCCCUGGUAGGUUCUCCAGGAUGAGGGAAGCAUGGUGCAGGGGUGCACACCAUGUACACAGGACCCCAGCGACUCAGCAUGUGCCAUACGAGUGCACCCAGCAAAUAUUUCACCACUGACCCAUCAGCCAUCCUGUGCCUUGGUGCACGCUGUGCUCAUGAUGGUGGAGGGCCUCUGGCUGGCCACGGGAAUUGGUGCUGUCUGACUUGUAGGUCCUGUCCAGCUGGGAUCCCUCUAUCAUGGGCUUUAAUGCAUUUUUUUAUUGGAGAUCUACUGGAGCAAUACCUCCUGCACCCACCUUUGGCAAGAACAUCCUUGUGGUAAGAAGUUCAUUUACCCUAAGUACUCAAGGAGGUGCAGGUUGGUAUCUGCUAGUGAUGAUCAGUGGUUGGGAUCAGCAUACUUCUGUGGUGGACACGUUAUCUACAGACCCCCAUUCCUGAAUCCUGUGGUCUGUGGGGAACUCUUAGGACAUUUUUGCAGAGCCUACUGUGGUGUAUUUAUAUGAACUAAACUGAAAUGCAUAUACAAGUGUUAUCCCAAUUGAGUCUUUAGACAGACUCACCAAAAAUCUGAGGACUUGGAAAAAGAUGGAAGGACUUUAUGUCUGAACUCCUUAAACCCUAGCCAAAAUUUUCAAAAAUGUUCAAUUGAUUUGGACACCAAGGUACCUAAGGCCUUUUGAAAUGGGAGGUAAGCUCCCACAUCACUGACAUGCUUUCAAAACAUUUUAUCCUUUCAUUCAAGCUACAUUUCACUUAGAUGCAGACGUGAAGCAGCUUAAUCCACUGCAGGGGAAGCGACCCUGUGAAGAAGCAGUAUCUUAAAGUUUGGAAAUAAUUAGCACUUGCCUCCAUUGUGAAGUUGGCAGGAAAGGUAAUUCUAAUCGGUGAUGGUAAACACCAAGGUAACUAAUUGGUGGGUUUUAAUUCUCGUUAUGUGACAUCCCAUAGCCACGGCUGCCCGUGCCUUUCACACCUCUCCGGAGAGCCGGCUUGCUUGGCCUACUUCUUCCACCAUCAGAAAAAAUGUGUUUCCCAUGAAUCUAAAGCUGCUUCUAUUUAUGGGUGUAAUGCUACAAGGUCGCAGUCAAAGCAUAGUUCUUGACAAUAAAAAGCAAAACAAACAAAAAGCAAAAAUAAGAACCAAAGCAAACAAAAA
Oxyura jamaicensis (ruddy duck) is the source of this 2462-nucleotide long non-coding RNA. RefSeq lists it as uncharacterized. The transcript has 2 exons. The record is from RefSeq and is a predicted model, not a curated record. NCBI's taxonomy places the organism in Eukaryota, Metazoa, Chordata, Aves, Anseriformes, Anatidae.